CCUAAAAACACACUAGCAGCUUGAUUUGAUCCUUGGAGAUCUGAAGUCGUGAUCUUGUUGUUGGUGAUGUUGUUACCAAGAAGAAAGUUAUCGAGAGGCCUUGUUGUUGUCGUGAGUCUCGUGGAGAAGAAGCGUUGUUAGAAGAACGUAAGCUUUCACCACCGUCGGUCACCACCGCUGGUUAGUCCGCCUCCGUGUGUCACCGGAGAUGUCAGGCGUUGUCACCGGAGCAGUCGUGGUCCAUCGGAGAUAUAUUUAAGGGUAAGGAAACCCUAUUUUCUUAUGUAGCUUGCACAAGAAGUUACUGACCCUGUCUUAUGAUUUGUUGUUGUUCUUGCGUUGUUGAGCGAUGAGGACCUAACCGCUGAAGCUUGAAUGGCCGUGUCGAUUUCAAGCCGCCGAUCAGAUCUGUCGAGAGUAAUUGUCGAGAAAGCUUGAGGAUUGUUGUUGAAGUGGGUCUUCUGUUGAUGCUAGAUAUAGACUAAGGAUUCAAUCCAAUGGCUAAGGUUAGUAAGUUUAAGAGUUGCAGUUUGAAGUUUGUUCGUUGGUGAAUUUUAAAGAAAGAAACGUUUUUGGUCAGACCGGAUGGAUUACAUGUUGUUCCGUCUUUUGCGACGGUACGGGUGUUACAAUUUUUUUCUAGUUA
Molecule: long non-coding RNA, 646 nt
Organism: Camelina sativa (false flax)
Lineage: Eukaryota; Viridiplantae; Streptophyta; Magnoliopsida; Brassicales; Brassicaceae
Source: RefSeq, a predicted model, not a curated record